RNAcentral lists this ribosomal RNA (537 nucleotides) under Keratinophyton terreum. RNAcentral describes it as "eukaryotic LSU rRNA". It matches the Rfam family "Eukaryotic large subunit ribosomal RNA", at positions 119 to 669 of the family's 3401-position model. The record is from RNAcentral. Lineage: Eukaryota; Fungi; Ascomycota; Eurotiomycetes; Onygenales; Onygenaceae.
UCUAGGCCCCGUCAGGAGCCCGAGUUGUAAUUUGGAGAGGACACUUCGGGUGUGGCCGCGGCGUAAGUCCCUUGGAACAGGGCGUCAUAGAGGGUGAGAAUCCCGUCUUGCGCCGCCGGACCACAGCCCAUGCGAAGUUCCUUCGACGAGUCGAGUUGUUUGGGAAUGCAGCUCUAAGUGGGUGGUAAAUUUCAUCUAAAGCUAAAUAUUGGCCAGAGACCGAUAGCGAACAAGUAGAGUGAUCGAAAGGUUAAAAGCACCUUGAAAAGGGAGUUAAAUAGCACGUGAAAUUGUUGAAAGGGAAGCGCUUGCAACCAGACUCGGUCGCGGGGGCUCAGCGGGUAUGCUUGCCCGUGUACUCCCCCGCGUUCGGGCCAGCAUCGGUUCCGGCGGUUGGUCAAAGGCCCCUGGAAUGUGUCGUCCUCCGGGACGUCUUAUAGCCAGGGGCGCAAUGCUGCCAGCCGGGACCGAGGAACGCGCUUCGGCACGGAUGCUGGCAUAAUGGUUGUAAGCGGCCCGUCUUGAAACACGGAACCA